UACGUAGGGGGCUAGCGUUGUCCGGAAUCAUUGGGCGUAAAGAGCGUGUAGGCGGCCCGGUAAGUCCGCUGUAAAAGUCAAAGGCUCAGCCUUUGAAUGUCAGUGGAUACUGCCGGGCUAGAGUCCGGAAGAGGCGAGUGGAAUUCCUGGUGUAGCGGUGGAAUGCGCAGAUAUCAGGAGGAACACCGGUGGCGAAGGCGGGAUCCUGGCCUGUUCUUGACGCUGAGGCGCGAAAGCUAGGGGAGCAAACGGG
Molecule: ribosomal RNA, 253 nt
Filed under: uncultured bacterium
Lineage: Bacteria
Description: partial 16S ribosomal RNA
Rfam family: Bacterial small subunit ribosomal RNA
Source: RNAcentral